RNAcentral lists this long non-coding RNA (14925 nucleotides) under Zea mays. Its description in RNAcentral is "long non-coding RNA (ZMAY_LNC002250)". Lineage: Eukaryota; Viridiplantae; Streptophyta; Magnoliopsida; Poales; Poaceae. The record is from RNAcentral.
ACCAGCUGCUGCUCAGGGUCUUCGCCUGCAACUCCUUCGGACUCUGCCAACUGACCGUUAUCUAUACGAGUUUAAACAUACAUUCCACGAUUUUAAUACAAAAGAAAAAUACACCACACAAUAGAAUAUAACAAAUAAACAGACGCUUGGUGUAGGGCUCGCACCUACGACUAAGCGAGAAAGAGAAAAACAACGGUCGAGGCUACGGUCGAAAAGCGAUUAUGUUAAUCAGUUAUGAAUUAAAUUACUUGUCUAAACAUAACCAUAUUAAUUUGACAAUCACGUUAUGCAUCAAAAAAAGUUACGCUACGCGUUUAAUUAUUAUAAACAAUUCAGGGUAAAUUUAAAAGGGUUGUCGCGCGGUGAAACGCACGAUGACACACGCGAACUAAACCAAAAAUUGGGACGAGUUGCUGCAACGAGGCGCACGACAGCACACACGAACUAAACUAAAAUUAAAAUGAGUCGGCGCGCGGUGAAACGCGCGACACAACACUUAAACUAAACUGAAAUUAAAUGAAUCGUCGCGCGACGAAGUGCGCAACGAAACACUUGAAUUAAAUAUGAAAAUAACGUAAAGCGCCGCACGACGAAGCGCACGAUGGCAUACGCCACUUGAACUGAAUUUAAAACAAAACGUCACGUGACUAAACGCGCGACGCAACACAUUAAAUAAUCUGAAAUUAAAAUGAAUCGUCGCGUGACGAAGCGCACGACGCAGCACACUAAUAAAUAUGAAUUUAAAAUAAAUCGUCGCGCGACGAAGCGCGCGACGUGGCACGUAAAUUAAACUAAAUCUAAAACUAAUCAAACUAAAUUUUAAACGUCGCGCGCUAGGGUUGCGCGCGCGGGAACGGGCUGCGCGCGCCAAGGGCCAGACCGGGGCCACCGCCGGGGGCGCGCGAGUAGGGGAGAGGGAAGGGAGGGGAUGGAGAGAGGAGGGGGAGGGGAAGCUCACCUUGGGAUCCGACGAUUGGCGGCAACCGUCCACCGGAUCACACCUAGGGCAAAGGAGGUGGAAGAGAGGUGGAGGAGAGGGAGAGGAAGUUGUUGCGCGGGAAAAGAAAAUAAGAUAGAGACAGGAAGGGGCGCAUGGGGGGAGGUGGGAGCGCCAGGGGCGUGGGGGCAGGGGCCGGUCCGGGUCGGGUCGCGGGCCGGGCCAAAAACCCACUGCACGCACGACCACUAAACGAAAACAAACCGCGAGUCAAAAACCGAGACGAGACGGAUGCGCGAUCAGACACAACAUCAGACAAAGAAAUAUGCUUCAGCAUGAUGCAACAACCAUGUCAACUUAGGUUUUUGUUUACACGCGAUACGGACACCAGUCGUUAUACUGCUUUGAAAAUUGGAAGAAGGAGCGAAACGGGAAGAGAAAAGAGAGUAACACCUGAAUUUGAUGAGUAUCAGAGAAGAAAAAUUAUACCCCUCAAAUUCAGGACGUUACAGCGGAUGCGGCAGCGGACCAUCAUGGCAGCGACGUAUGCGCGACCGAGACCCUAGGAGGGGAGCGAAGCGGAGGGGAAGGAUGUUGGGGGCAAAACCGUGCACCAUGUGGACACCUACACUGAGUAGUAGAGAUUUACACCAUAAUAUUCAGCCUUACUCGUCAUUUGCAUCAAAAGGUCAUGAACCUUGCACCCUGCAUCUGGCAGCUACACCAGAAAAGGAGCCAGAAUGCACACUUGCGACACAUGUUUCGUUCCAGUAUAAUAGAGUGAACAACACUGAUGUGUGAUCUUGUCAAACGAACGACUGAAGUCGUACUAAAACAGUAUUUUCAAUGGGAGCAAGCACGGCCAUUCUUCAUACAAAAGCAAAUAGGCAGUUGAAGAACAGGUUGAGUCUAAGUGUAAACAGACUAAAAUUAUCAUUUUUUUCUUUUUCUACGAUAUGUCUUACAACAACUAUGAUACGGCAAAGAACGAAAUAGGUGCCAACAGACCUUGUUUCGUUGUAACUACUGCCGCACCACAAAAUCCGGUCUAGUUUAGAAACUUAAAUCAUCUUCAUAAUUUUCGAAGAUUAAGGAGAAAAUUAAGCUAGAUUUCUUCUCGAUCUCCGGGAUUCCCGGAGGGAAUUUAGGUAGUGUUUUGUUUCUGGAGUACAGUAGAAUAGAGACCCUCCGCUCUUAAUUUGCUGUUGUUUGGAUUGGUUCCAUAUAGAACGGAUUGACUCUAAAAAUGGAAACUUAUGUUCAAAUGGUGAACUAUCUGGUUUUUUAAAAAUCAUUCGGACGGAGCCGCUCCAUUCCAACCGGCACCGAAACCAAACACUACUUUAAAGUUUACAAACUAGUCAUAAACAUGUUCAAUUUAGGCCCCUUUGAUAGGGCUCUCUGGACGGCUCCUCCUAUGGCUCUUCGUGAAGCCGUGCUCAAACGACCUUAAAAAAUGGCUCAUCGUCGAGAGCCAUCAAGGAGCCAGAGCCGUUUUGCUAUUAGGAGCAGAAGCACAAAAAAAUAGGCUUCUACUGGCUCCUUCUAUCCUACAUAUAAUAAUGUUUUAGGAAAUUACAAUCCAUACCACCAUCUUUCUAUGAGAAACUGUUUUACUAAAUAAAUUUUAAAAACGGUUCUGGCUCUUCUAGAGAAGAAAAAAAAACCAGAGUCAGAGCUGUUUUGAGAAUAGUCGGAGCCUGACACAGGGAACCUUAAAACAAAGCUAAAAUUGCAUCAGGGUAACCAUCGCCUUUAACAUGUUGAGCUCAGAGCAGGGGCGUUGAAACGAUAACAGCCUCGUCAGUUGUCAGAGAGCGCACCAUGCGUGAAGCCGGGCAUCGCUAUUCUUGGCCAAAACCAGCAGCCGCGCUCCAAAAUCCCCGACCCCCGCUACGGCUGGCCCAUGCGAUGCGGGUGCCUCUCAUCCCUCGCCACCGUCCUCGCCGCGCACGCGCGUGUGCGCGUGCGUGCGCGGGGAGCUCGUGAAACCUCUCUCCUCCCCCUUCUCCGCCUCCCUUUCUCUCUCUUCGCGUCGACCUCCCGCUCUGCCCCUCCCUGGAAAACAGCGUGCCGGGCCGGCCAGCCUUUCCCAUCCGCGCGCGCCCGGGAAUAGGGGCCGCCCGCACCAUCGACGCCGGCCAAUUCACCCGCCGUCGUCAAGUGCUGGCGCCGGCGGGCUGGCUCCCUGGCACCGGCGCCGCCGCCCCGGACAUGGCCGGAGCGCCGUCGUCGCUAGCGCGCCUCCUCCUCCUCCUCCUGCUAGCUGCCGGAUGCCUCCUCCCGCUGGUCGCUGACGCCGCGCGGCUCACGCUGUCCCUCGCGCCCGCCGCCGACGCGCUCCUCAGGCUCAAGGCCGGCAUUAAGGACGACGGCGGCGCGCUCGGCAGCUGGUCCCCCGACACGAGCCCCUGCGCCGACGGCGGGCCCAGCUGGAAGGGCGUCCUGUGCAACAAGGACGGCGUGCACGGCCUGCAGCUCGAGGGGAUGGGCCUCUCCGGCACGCUCGACCUGCGCGCCCUCACCAGCCUGCCCGGCCCCGGCCUCCGCACGCUGAGCUUCAUGAACAACGAGUUCGCCGGCCCGUUGCCCAACGUCAAAGAGCUCAGCGGCCUCCGCGCUGUCUUUCUGUCCGAGAACAAGUUCUCCGGUGUCAUCCCCGCCGACGCGUUCGCCGGGAUGGGCUCGCUCAAGAAGGUGGUCCUGUCCAAUAACGACUUCACUGGCCCCAUCCCGGCGUCGCUCGCCGACGCGCCCAGGCUCCUGGAGCUGCGCCUCAACGACAACAAGUUUCAGGGCAAGAUCCCGGACCUGAAACAGGAGGAGUUGACGGAAGUCAACCUCGCAAACAAUGAGCUCGAGGGGGAGAUCCCGGCGAGCCUCAAAUCCAUGACAUCGGACAUGUUUGCCGGUUAGCAACAUUUUCUACAACAUCAUGCAUGCAUGAUGUUUGGUGCAAGUGCAAUGUCCACUUGCAUCCAUAUGACGUUGUUGUUCUACAAUAAUGCAUGCGUGCAGGCAACAAGAAGCUUUGCGGCCCGCCGCUCGGUGCCAAAUGCGAGGCCCCCCCGACGCCGUCACCAAAGGCGCAUCCGCAGGCCUCCGUCAAAGAAGGCACCACGCCGUCACAAGCAGCAGCAGACACCGUGGCAUCCACGGGCGCGUCGUCAGCAGACGACCCGAAGCAAGACGAAGGCCAGGAGCCCGUCGAGGGCUCCAUUUCGUUCGGCGUCUCCGCCGCGUUGCUUGGCACGCUUUUGAUCGCCGGCGUGGCGUUCAUCGCGCUGCGGAGGCGGAGGGGGUACAAAACCAAGAACUUCGGCCCGACCGCGUCGUCGUCUCGCCCCUCGGGGCCGCCAAGGGUCGAGCCGCACCCGCCGGCGGCAAAGGCGCCCGCCGCCGCCGGGGGCGUGGCGCACGGCGGCGGCGCGGCGCGGAAGGCGGAGCAGGGGCGACUGACGUUCGUGCGCGACGACCGCGGCCGGUUCUUCGAGCUGCAGGACCUGCUCAAGGCGACGGCGGAGGUGCUUGGCGCCGCCAACCUCGGCGUGUGCUACCGCGCCACGCUCACGACGGGCCAGUCCGUCGUCGUGAAGCGGUUCAAGGAGAUGAACCGGGUGGGCAGGGAGGACUUCGAGGAGCACAUGCGGCGGCUGGGCCGUCUCAGCCACCCCAACCUCCUCCCGCUCGUCGCCUACUACUACCGCAAGGAGGAGAAGCUGCUCAUCCACGACUACGUCCCCAACCGGAGCUUGGCGAACCUCCUCCAUGGUGAGUACACUGUUCAGUGUUCACCUCGAGCUCGUCGUCGUCACCGAUCAUCCCUCUAACCUUUGGCUGGCGGAUGCAUGCUUGGUGUUGGCGCGUUCGUUCGUUCGCACAGGCGGCGGCGAGAGCGGCGGGAUGAAGAAGGCGGCGGUGCACUGGGCAGCGCGGCUGAAGAUCGUGAAGGGCGUGGCGCGGGCGCUCAGCUACCUGUACGACGAGCUGUGCAUGCUCACGGUGCCGCACGGCCACCUCAAGUCGUCCAACAUCCUGCUCGACGCCCACCACGGGCCGCUGCUGACGGACUACGCGCUGGUGCCGGUGAUGAACCAGUCGCACGCCGCGCAGCUCAUGGUGGCCUUCAAGUCCCCGGAGCGGAAGCAGUUCGGCCGCUCGUCCAAGAAGAGCGACGUCUGGUGCCUCGGCCUGCUCAUCCUCGAGAUACUCACUGGAAGGCCGCCGACCUACGACCCGCCCAAGGCGGCGGCGCCCUCAGGCGAGCUGUCGUCGUCCCAGCAGAAGCCGGGGCCGGCGGCGGGCAACACCGACCUGGUGACCGUCGUGGGGUCGACGCCGGAGGGCGAGUGGCUGAACACCGUGGUGGACCGGGACCUGCGGGGCGAGGAGGAGGAGGACAAGGAGGAGAUGGUGAAGCUGAUCAGGGUCGGCAUGGCGUGCUGCGAGAGCAACGUGGACAACCGGUGGGAGCUCAAGACCGCCAUCGAGAGGAUCGAGGAGCUCAAGGCGAAGGAGCGCCCCGACGAGGAGCAAGCGACGGUGAUCGACGAGGACUACAGCGAUGUUGCCCUCAACUGAUCAUCGACACGAACCGGCCGGGAAUCGAUCGAUAGGGAGGGUUGUGCGCAAGCUGAUGAUAUGAGCCCAAAAUGUGAUGACCUGCAUGCAUGCCGAGACCCUAAACAUGGACUAGUACUGUGUAUUCUUAUAUACCUUUGCUGGUUGUUAAUUGCCGGUGGUAGGUUUUUGGAGAGAAAAGAAGCUACUUAUAUAUAAUCACACAGAUCUUAGUUUGCUUUUCUCAGUGAACAGAAAUCUAUUACAAAGCAUCUGGUGGACAACUGGUGCUGCAACCUCCCCUUGCUACCUCUUAGAUCUAAUCUGGUACUCCAUCCAUUCAAAAAUAGUACUCUCUCUAUUCUUUUUUAUUUAUCGUCGUUUAGUUUAAAAAUAAACUAGCGGGCGAUAAAUAUUCAAGAACGAAAAUAAUAUUCGUUUUAUCUCUUAGUUUGUAUGUUUAUAUAUAAAUGGACGAUAAUAAAUCUAAACACAUCAAGUAUUAAAUUAUAGUACUUUAAAAUAAUUUUAAUUGAUACGGAGGGAGUAUGAAAUAACACCUUCAGUUCAGAUCGCUCAUAUAUUAGCUAUCAUAUCUGCUUGUUCCUUCUUCGUUGUUUUCUCAUUGACUCAUUGUAACCUCUCAUGGGGCGGACCCCAGCCCUUCUUGGCUAUUAUCACCAGGUGGGGCCGUGGGGGAGAUUCUCCCCUGUUGACAAUCGGAAAAAGUUACAAAGCCAUUAAUUGUGUGAAUGGACGAUCAACUAUUCUAAUUUGUGCCAAUUAUCAAGAGUAGGGCCACACAAAAAGGUUCGUUCUUUGAAAAUUUCAUCCUCUUAUUGUUUUUCAGUUUUCACACAUAUAAACCACUAUUAAAAUCCGUCCUUUCAAAAAUUAAAAAAAAACGAUCAAAAAUCACAUCGAAACUAGUAGAGAGGUGGUAGAUAAAUCUGUCAGCUUGGACAGACGGGUAACUACUACUUUUUUUAAAGCAACGCAGUUGACUUUAUUUAUUUGUGAUAGUUUACAUUGUUGAUCAGAAAAAUCUUGCUCAAAGGAAUGGCAGCUCGCUCAUCACAUGGUCAGCUCGCUCAUCACAUGAUUUUUUUUGGGAAAAAAAUUGCUGCAGCCCCGCUGCAAACGAGGAUGUUUGCAGCCUCCUCAUAAAAGGAAGAUAUAUCUCAUCUGCAGGUAUACCAGAUAACGUUUUAGUUGUGUUAUUGACCUGCUUUUUACGAGAAACUGCAAAAAUACUAGUUUAUAGCCGAGGCUGUAGCAAAUUUUUUCCUUUUUUGGAGGGCUUUCUCCCUCGCAGAUGAAACGACGACAUGCAGGCCUGCCAAGGUUCGAGACGAGGCGAAACGUCAACAGGCCCGCCGUGUCUAGGGCUCUAGGCCCAUCAGUGCGUGCCUUUUGCGGCGCGCCUUACAGUUUUUUUAGUUUAUCUCUACAACUAUUAAGACUCAUCUGUAGACUGCCCCCGCUCUCCCCUAACUCCCGCGGCUCCCGCGCGCCCGCCGAGGAUCCCGUCGCCCGCCCGCACAACACCGCGAUUCGCGGGCGCCAGCCGCGAUUCCCGCCGCCCGGCAACCAAACACCGCCGAGGAUCUCGCGCGCGCCCGCCCGCCCCCACCCAGCCACGAUUCCCCACCCAACGCGCGCGAGUCACGCGCACGUCGCGCCCACCGCCGAGGCAGUUGGCGAAGACGAGCGUGUACUGGCCGGGCUCGGAGACGCGGACGGCGGUGGAGAAGGAGGAGGAGCGAGCGACCUCGACGCCGGCGGGGUUGGAGGGCGGGCGGAGGCGGUCGAAAGAGAAGGCGAGCUUGACGAGCUCGGACUGGAGCGCGCAGGUGACGUCGAGGUCCUAGAGCUGGCGGAGGACGUGGACCCAGGCGUCGAGCGUGGAGAGGAAGAAGCCGAGUUGGGAGAGGUCCAGCUCCGCGGAGGCCUGCGGGUCGAAGGCGAUGCCGGAGACGUUGAGCUCCAGCACGCCCGAGUGGGAGAAGCCGAACUCGUCCAGCGGGAUGAUGCUCUGCGCGUCGGCCCGGAUUGCGGUCUCCCGGAUCUCGGCCGCCGCAGGGGGAACCAGCACCAUCGCGGCGACGAGGAAGAGGAGGGCGGUCAGGGAGGGCCCCCGGUGCGCCACGGCGUGCAGCGACGGCGAGGCGGCCAUUAUGUGUGCUCGUCCAGCAACCUUUGUGCUCUGCUUUCUCCGCUCACCCCCUUCCCCUCAACGAUAGACACCAAGGUAUCCUUUCUGAAUCUGGCUAUUGAGGUAGAUAAUGUUUUUCACCAUUUUAAGUUUUUUUUCUUUACGUUGAUAAUAGACUAAGGCUGAUCUUGAGGAAGUUGCUGUCGCUGAAGCUGAUAUUAUGAACUUGCAGCAAAAGGUUUCUGAUCUUCGGGGACAACUCAACAACCAAGUUCAGUUGAGUUCCACCUCGUUAUGUGAAUCAUGCAACAGCAAGCGAUCCAUAAAUGCAGACAAGUUUGUCGAGUAAGGUUUUACUGCUAAGCAUUCAAUAUUGGUAUAUUAUUAUUUUCUCACUGUUUAUAAUAUUUGCCUCCAUUUAGAAACCUUGGUUGAGAUAUAAUUGCCCUUGCUUUCUGCAGAGGUGAACAAAACGUUGCCCUUUCUCCACAGAUUGCCUCAGUCGAAGCACCACCAAUUGUAGGGUCUUAUUCUGUACCUGACAUGUUCUGGGCUACAAACCAGAGAUUUCUGAUGAGUUGAAACUGGAGGUCCUCGAUGAUCUUAAGAGAGAUUUCUCUCGUAUCGAGGACUACUGAGAUUGGUUUUCUAGGCUUCAGCUUAGCAACUUGAACAGUUCCAAUAUUUCAAAUAGAAAGGAUGCUAUAUCAAAUAGGUUGAAUAGAUCAAUUCAGGUAAAGGAAUUAUAUCCCCACUUUCGUACAAAUAUAAACAUCUGUGAUUAUUAUAUGCUUUUGUACCUAAUUUGUUUGUGAAGAAAUUGUUAUUAUAUGCUUGUUAGGGAAACUCUCUAAUGCCAUUUGCAGUUAUAAUAUUAGAGUUUGACAAAUAUUUAUACUUGUACAGCAUAUAGUGUACCAUUUAAAACUGUCCCUUCGUAAUAGCGUAAUAGCCUUGUAGUAUGUCCGUCUGUUGCAGUUUAGAGCACAAUGGUUCUUUUCCCAUUUCAUAGCCAGGAUCUGCCAGCUACACUACACACUAGAUCUGACACACUUUUAUGAACAUUCUAAUUUUAUAUUGUGGUGUGGAUUCUAGGUGUAUGAUGAAGCUGUCAGAAGGCUACAAACUUCCAAAAUGUAGUAGAUGGCUACAAACUUCCAAAAUGUAGUCAUUGUAUGCAAAGCUUUGGAUGGAUAUUCAAUAUCCUGAGAGAGAAGAUUCCAUCACACUAUUCCAGGAUUAUGAAUUUGAUGCUUCAGAGUUCACGUCAUCCAUACCGAAAGUUUAGGAAAAAUGCAGAAUCAUGUGGGUGUCUUAGUGAGGAUCUUGCUUGCCAAUACAUAUCAUUUUACUUGAAACUAGAAAGACCGGAGGAAGCUAAGACUCUUGCAAAAAAUAUUUGCGAUGGUCCUCUUUCAAGUGCUGCAAAUUUGUGGUUCCUGAGAGCUUCUAUGGAGAUAAAUUCAUUAGCGACUGCUCCUGACAGCUCUUCAUUGAAUAAGGAGAACUUGUGCUCUCUGUUUGAUUUGGUUAGCACUGUACUUUAUUAGUUGUCUGUAACUGAGGCCAAGAGAUUUUGGCAUAUGGUAAGUUCUUUAGAUCAACAUUGGCAAACUUGGGUUUUACCUUACUACUAUGACUGUGUUUGAAAUUGUUCGUGAUGCAUUUCAGGCCAUGAAAUUGUUUUACCAUGAUAAGGUCUGCUUCGAGAAGCUGGUGAAGAUUGCAAUGCUAUCAUUAUGUUCUCAACAGGCAAGUAUAAACCAUCAUGGAUUCUAUGUUGAACAUUUGUUGUAUGAGAUUUUGGUUUAGUGCAUUAUUUAUAGGUUGAGCAUUUACGACAGUAAGAUAAUUGAUAUUAUUCAUAAAAAAUAUAUCUCUACUCCUAUUAAGGGGCAAAGGAGGGUGGUGUGCAUAGGGGCGAGGCCAUGCCCUUGCCCCAGCGCCCCCGUACUCUCGGCUGUUGUCCCCGCCCGCUCGUCCCCCUAGAAACCUCGUCGUCGCCCUCCCCCGCGAACUCCACCAACAGUUCUGCUCGUCCCGCUCGUUCGGCUCGAGCGCUCGGCCGUUCCAUUCCCUUCACCUUUUUCCAUUCUAUUACUUAUACAAAUGCCUUCCUUUUCUUAUAUCCUGUAGAUUGGUACAGCAAAUUAUCGAUGCUAUUUUGGUUCUGGACAUUGAUGAUCCUCCCUGCGCUAUUGCUGCAGGAGCUCUUUUAUUUGUUUUGGCAAGUGAUGUGAGUACCUCUUGAUCUCAGUUUAAAUCCUGCAUGCUGUUCUGCAUACUGAAUACCACUUAUCUCGAAGUUGCCUUCACCUAGAUGAUUACAUGGUGGAGAAAAGCUAUUAAUUUCCACUAUGUUUUCUCUUUUAGCUGCAACCACUUCUUUCGCAUUACAAUGCCACCUGUUUUCACAUUACAAGGCUGGCAUGUUCUAUUAGAAAAUCAAACAAGAAACACCAUGAGAUUAAUCUCAAUAUUUUUUUAAUAUAAAAACUAACUAGAAAUUUGUUGGAGGUAAAAUCUCAGGCAAUGUUGACAUUUAACCUUUUUCAUUAGUUUAAGUGUUUGACCUAAAUGACUAUCUCUCGAGGGGAAAAGGCCUUCUGUUUCUGCUGUUAUUCACGAAGCUGCUUAUGAAGGUGCCAUUUGGUGUAGGGAAGGUGCCAGUGCCCUCUAAGAGCUCCUGGCACGUCAGUUCAACCUUGGAAAUUGGUUGUGGUGUUAGUGGUUGGGUGUGGGGUCUGUUGUUUUGGUGGCCUUGAGGACAUCAUAUAGGCGUUCAGGUCAUAGCCAACCAUUGUACCGGGGCUCACCUUUCGGUAGUCUUUUAUCUUUUUUUCUUAAUGACUCACACAUCUCCUGCUUUUGUUCUAAAAAACCACUUCCUUUCUUUUCUACUUAAUAAAGUUUUUGACUUUUCAUUGUCUAUGAGAUGCAACUUUAUCCAUUGGUACAACUUAAUGGAGGCAUUCGAAUGAUAACUCUAAUGAUAUUUUUAUAUAGUGAAUCUAUGUAACUCUAACCUUACAGGCAUACAAAUGGUCAACCUUUAGAAUUUGAUUGAUGGCACUAGAUUGUGGAACUCAGGUAGUAAUACUUCAAUACGGGUUCUGCUUAUUGUUUCCUUUGUUAUUAUUCAGGUCCAAGACAAUAAUUUGCUGUCUUCAGAAACUUGUGUCCAUUUCCUCCUCAAAUUGUUAAACCCUCCGGUGAAUGUUGUUGAUGCCAAAGCACCAUCAAUAGGUUCCAAACUUCUUGGAAUCGGUAAAUUUCAGAUGCUUAACGGUUCCAAUAAGGAUGUGGACUCUUGUUCAGAGGACAUACUUUCAAAAGUUGAAGAAAUCCUCUUAAGCUGCAAAGAGAUCAAACCAGCAGACAGGGAUUAUAAGAGAACAACAAGGCCGGAACUAUGUUCAAAGUGGCUUGCUUUGUUGACAAUGGAAAAGGCGUGCUUGUCUGUUGUUGCAUUAGAGGGUAAAUUCUCCAAUCAAAAUUUUGGAUCAUGAUUCUUUAGGUCUGAUUUUAUUAGUCAAAGCAAUAAAAUCAAAUAAUAAGAUAAGUAAUAUCUUACAGCAUUACAUGGAUGAUUUUCUCAGGUUAUUAUCUCACUUGUUAUUGAUUGUUGUCAUAUUUAGAACUUUGAGUAUUUUUCUUACUUUUAAUUUAAUAAACCUAAUUUAGUAGCAAGGUUUGCCAUCACAUCAUCAGUCUGAAGUGCUAUAACAUUUUUACAGAUACAUCUGACAAGGUGUUAGAACUCGGAGGAAAUUUCAAAGAAACAUUAAGGCAGUUGGGUGGCCUUGAUGAUAUUUUUAAUGUCAUGGUGAAUUGCCAUUCAGAACUGGAGGUAAGACCUUAUUUGUGUGUAUGUAUGUUCUCUAACAGUUUAUACAAAACUAUUAAAUUGGCAUUAUUUGUUAUUUUGUUCUGCUAUGGUAAAGGAUGGUUAACUUUUGAGCCUUGUACAAUUCAUGCUCCAGUAUACUUGGAGCUGCAAUCUGAUGAAUAUUAUUUUGAGCAACAUGAAAAACAUGUUGCAAGACAAGGAUAUGUUGCAGUAAUUGCUUUGGUUGAAAUGUUUUAGAUUUCAAAUGUACUGUUGGGUUUGUGUUGGGUUUCAACUCUAGCCUACCCCAACUUGCUCGGGACUAAAAGACUUUGUUGUUGUUGUUCAUGUACUCUUACUGUGAUUACCAAUACAUUUUGAACUUUGGAGAAAUGAUGAAGUAAUCCUUUGAAGGCCUUGAAAUUUGAAUUUCCCAUCCCAUAUACUCCCAAGCUGAUGAUUAUUAACAGUCCCAUCAAAUAGUGUCAUCAAUGGGGUGUUUGGUUCGAGGAAUCACCUUAUCCUUGAUGGGGUGGUCCAUCAUCAGGUGAUCCUAUAUGAAUUUGGUGGGAUGAUCUCAUUCUCCAUACAUAUACUAAUUGUGUGCAUAUGAGGAAUGUGAUGAUGAUAGAUCACCCUAUUCCAAUACUUAAACCAAACAUUAAUUUGAGGUGUGAGAUGAUGAUGGACCACCUCUUUACAAACCGAAUAAAACAUAGAUGUCUUUUUGAGUUUUUGUUCUGUUCAGUAUUUUCUUUUUUUAUCUUUCUAGACAUCUUGCUUGCACACUACCUCUUAAUUAAGACCCACCCAAAUAUUUUUCUUUACCUGAAAAGAAAGAAACGCAGCAUUCUGGAAUAUGUCUAGGCCUAGGGCUACUUUUUAGGCUAAAACAGCUAUCAUGCGAGAACGAUUAACUAGAAGCUAGCAGGUGGUGUCUGGUCAUGCUGUUGUAAUUAGGGUAGUUGGGUUUGCUUCCAAACUGCAAUAAGAUUCCUUCCUAAGCAUAGUUGUUUAGAUUUUGACAGAAUAAGUUUCCAAAUUACAGGUUUGUUCAAAUACUGCGUAUUCAGAACAGGGGGUCUCUUUCUUUGAAAUCUUACGUUUGCUACCUCUGUUAUCUUCUUUUCAUCCCUAUAGUGCAUACAAUUAAUAUCAGACAUGAAAUAGUAUAGUUAACCCAAAUUUGUAAACACAACAUUAAACAUUUGAGUACAUAUAACAUACACCACAAAAAUUUGAAGGUUUGAGUCCAAAUUUACACCAAAUAUUUUUAUAUAGCCAAAUCUUCACUGAUCAAUAUAGAGGAAGAGCUUAAAACAGUCAUCUUCAUCGUUCCUCCCCAAUUUGAUCUCCUAGGCAGAUAAGCCUCACUCUGAUCCUCAUAAUCUUCACAAAGUGGCAGAUAGAGACAUGUCUUCCAUUGAUGCUUGUGUGCCUACUUUACAUGCUUGUAUCCAAGAGUAGACAUCCGUUGUCUCAAGGAAUUUAAUUAUCUAACAUUUGUUCUAACAGAUGAAGUGCAUGUCGUUAGAGUUGGUUGCAUGUACUAUAUAUGUGGACAUGUGAGCACGUGUUAACUUGGUUUUUAAUAUUUACCUUCCCAUCUUUGGACAUGUGAGCAUGGUAUUGUAAUGCAGUUCUUCAACGAAUGGCCCACAAUAGUGCUUGCCCUUUUGAACUCAGCCAUAUUCAAAAUCAUCACAUGCUCACAUAUUCAGUAAGGAAAGCAAUAGAUUGACAAUUAACUUAUUUCGAAAACAGUGGAUUGUGCUUCUUCAGUUCACCAUCAUAUUCAAUUUUGUGAUUGUAUGCUGCUGUUACAUGGUAUUGGUAAAAAAUUCCUUCAAGUGUUCAUGGUAUUUUUAAUUUAGCAUUCAUGGUUGAAAAUGAUAAGCUAAUGCUUUGUAGCUCAUACGUGAGCUGUAGUGUCGUCCUGCAUUUAACAAAUGUUAAGGACAAUUUUAAGUGCAAAGUUACAAUAUUAUCAACAUUUUGCCAUCAUGUUUUUCUUCUCUUUGCAUGUGAAUUUUUUUGUUCAAUAAGAUACAUGUAUCCUUCACAACCGAUAUUGUUAUGUGAGUGGUCUAAGUUUUUUAAUCCUUCCAGUAGUAGCCAUAACUUACAAAUCUUCCACUGAUGAUUACAGAGGACCACGAAGGGCUUGCAUAUUGCACUGGAUACUUCAGCUUGCAGCAGGUGUUGUGAAGAGUUUCAGUGCACUUCGUAGUUCAUGGAUCAAGAAUUUCAUUCUGGCUUUUGCGUCUUCGGUGUUCUCUUUCUAUUUUGAGACGUUGUUUGUGUUGGGGCAUGAGAAAAUUUGUGUGUUUUUAAGGGCUUAUGUGCUAUUACUAUUCUCUCUAUGGUGUACGAAUCUUUAAAGUGAAUAUGAUCUUUGUAUUGGUUUAGUUGUGUAUUGGUUAUUGAUAAAAUUUUUGUGAGAUAUUGAGGUUAAGAUAAUAUGUAUUGUUCGUUUUCGUGCAAGCAUUGUGCACUAAUAUUUUAUUUCUCUAAAUUGCUUCAGUUGCUCUACCUGUUUUAGAGGAUUCAUCUUUAGAUGGGUUGAAUGUUGUCAUAAUACUUAUCCAUAUGUAAGUAAUGUAGAAAUCAUGCCACAACAUAUAUCCUCGCAACAUAAAAGAUAAAAUGGUUAUAUUUGUGAGUUAAAAUAAUUUUGAUAGUCACAACUCAUUGUCCCCUUAUGACAGGCUUAGGAUCUCCUUUUUAUAAUUUUCACCCUGCAAUACAAAAUUAUUCUAUGGAGGUCAUGAUACAUCGUCAUAUAUUGUAUUACCAACUUAGGCUGAGAUCUCUGAUAAGAAAAAGUACCCACAACUGUACAAGAUGGUUAUAAAGCAUAUGAUGCAUGGACCGUGCGGGUUGCUAAAUCCUAAAUGCCCAUGCACUAAGGGUCAUCCUUCAUGCAAACAUACAAAAGACUUAUCAAUAUCUCUACAAAGGAAUAUAUUAGUGUACGAUUGUCGAUAUAUUGUUUGUUUUCAUGUAAUUGUUGUGCACUCGCGUUUUAUUAAUAAUUUGUGAGUCGUCGCAAAUCGUCGCAACGCAGAGACACCGAACUAUCAUAUAUAUAGGUCUGCAUGAUAUUGAUGGUUGCAAUGUAGUGGUAAAACAGGUAGAUUAAAAUAACAAAAUGUAUAUGUAUAGCCAGGAUCACCAAUGAAUUACAAAAUCUUUUUUCAUAACAAUAUAACACAUUUAUAUAUAAGUUAUCAUGAUAUUAAUAUGUUCCCAUUGCAACGCACGGGAACUAACCUAGUAAUUAAUUAAUUUAUUACCUCCUUUCGACGAACCAGCCGGCACCAAAAGAUGGAUCACCGUGCACGGAGCGUGCGUCCGUUGCGGGAAACGACGGGGAUCUAGGCGACGCCGUGACGGUGAUGCUCCCGUUCACGUUUCGCAGCUUUCGCUGCACCCCUUUGAUUC